Molecule: small RNA, 554 nt
Filed under: Pongo abelii (Sumatran orangutan)
Lineage: Eukaryota; Metazoa; Chordata; Mammalia; Primates; Hominidae
Description: processed transcript
Source: RNAcentral
GAAAAAAAAUGUCCGCCUAAGGAGACCCACAAGUUCUAUUCGGGGGGACCGACAGCCCGCCCCGGGAGGAAGGGGCGGCCAGGCCUGAAAGCCGCCUCCCCCUCCCAGACCCGAGAGCUCGUGCGGGGCAAAGUGAACCGAGCCGCUGGGCGGUGCAAGGUGAAGCCCAAGCCCGUUCUCCCGGCCAAAGUGAACUUUAAUCGGGGUGGUUGGAUGCGGAGACGGGGCGGCAGGACCUGCUAGAAGUGGCCGAAGAUGAAUCCCCAGCAACAACGCAUGGCUGCUAUAGGGACCGACAAGGAGCUGAGCGACCUGCUGGACUUCAGUGCGAUGUUUUCCCCACCUGUUAAUAGUGGGAAAACUAGACCAACUACACUGGGAAGCAGUCAAUUCAGUGGAUCAGGUUUCACAGAUUUGAAUACCAGCCUCCAAUAUUUCAGUAUGGAUGAAAGAGGAGGUACAACAUCUUGGGGAACAAGUGGUCAACCAAGUCCUUCCUAUGAUUCAUCUAGAGGUUUUACAGACAGCCCUCAUUACAGUGAUCACUUGAAUGA